UGGCGCCGGUCAGCCCGGCGCUGAUUGCGCCAAACAAGGCGAGGCCGGCGAGGGCGGCGAUCAAUUCUUUC
This 71-nucleotide small RNA is filed under the name Pseudomonas fluorescens Q8r1-96. RNAcentral describes it as "R1162-like plasmid antisense RNA". The record is from RNAcentral. Lineage: Bacteria; Pseudomonadati; Pseudomonadota; Gammaproteobacteria; Pseudomonadales; Pseudomonadaceae.